Molecule: ribosomal RNA, 253 nt
Filed under: uncultured bacterium
Lineage: Bacteria
Description: partial 16S ribosomal RNA
Rfam family: Bacterial small subunit ribosomal RNA
Source: RNAcentral
UACGUAGGGUGCGAGCGUUAAUCGGAAUUACUGGGCGUAAAGCGUGCGCAGGCGGUUUUGUAAGCCAGGUGUGAAAUCCCCGGGCUCAACCUGGGAAUGGCAUUUGGGACUGCAAGGCUGGAGUGCGGCAGAGGAGACUGGAAUUCCUGGCGUAGCAGUGAAAUGCGUAGAUAUCAGGAGGAACACCGAUGGCGAAGGCAGGUCUCUGGGCUGACACUGACGCUCAUGCACGAAAGCGUGGGGAGCAAACAGG